GGCUUCUCCCUAGCUCUCAGCCCCUGUAGGCAGGUGCUAUGGAGCACAUGUGAACAUCCUGAUCUUUAGUGAACAUCAACCCUCCCAGAAGCAGAGCACCCUGCUAUCUAUUUAGGUGCCAGAAGGCCAAGCCCAGGCCCUCAGGACCACUUCCCACCCACAGGUGCCUUCUUCAAGCAGCUUCCUUUAGCUCCCCAUGGGUGUGUGUGGACAGGCAGAUCCUGUGGAAGCCUCUGGGGAUAAGCUGAUUAGCAGGUACAAAAACACUCAUGCCCACCAGUGGAUGAGGAGGUCGGGGCUACAGAGACCGAAGGAUGCAAGCUCUGCCAAUGGGAGCGACUACCCAGCUCAGCCAAUAUUUUGUGUGAUAACAUGGGUCUGGGGACACCAAAUUUGACUUGACUUGGAAAUUCUGAUUUUUAAAAUUUAUGUCAAUUUCAUUUACAUUUAACUAAGGUGCCCAAUUUAAUUUACAUUUAACUAAGAUAAGAUGCCCAGACUAUUGGAUUUUAUAAAAUAAAUUUUACUGGAACCCA
This is a long non-coding RNA of Marmota flaviventris (yellow-bellied marmot), 536 nucleotides long. RefSeq lists it as uncharacterized. The record is from RefSeq and is a predicted model, not a curated record. NCBI's taxonomy places the organism in Eukaryota, Metazoa, Chordata, Mammalia, Rodentia, Sciuridae.